CGGAGGUCCGGGGCGCCGGACCCGCCGCGGCCUCGCCGGGCCUGGCUGGCCUGUUUGUUCUAUACUUCUAAUGUUUAAUAAUUACCCAGAGCUUUGGAUAUAUGCAAUUCUGCAAAAUAAAUCAAAAGGAGUCAGAAGGCAAUUUUAUUUCCUAAUAGACCCUUAGUUAGAAUUUAACUUAAAAGCCAUUUUUAACAAAUGUAAACAAUAUCUCCCCUCCUCUCCAUCAAAGUCUGACGGAGACAAAUGAAAAGAUUUUUUAGAAGAAUAGGACUAUAUCAAGACCAAAAAAAAAAAAAAAAGCUAAGAAAGGGUACCAUCAACAAUCUUUACAGAACUUCUGGAAAGUAAAAAGCAAAUGGUACUGGCCUGGGGAAUAACCAAAGAAAAUGAAACCUCAGCCCCGGAUGGCAAAGGACACAACUGGAGAAACUAGUUAUUUCACCAAGGCUUUGACUGGAAUGGCAUGCUUCUUUAAAGAAUCAAAGUUGACUUGUAGAGCCAAUAAAAGCCCCUUGGGAAAUGUGGCCUCAUACCUUGUCUAUGCCAUCUCUGUACAAGAUUCCCGACUUGUGAUUUCAUAGUGUUUACUGAUGGACCAUGUACUUGGGAUAAAUUGGCCAACUGAAGGUUUCUUAUGCUGUGGUGUCUGAUCAUGAGCUCUUGGAAGCUUAUGUUUUGUCUGGAAUUAAGUUGGCACAAGUAGACAUCCUGAGACAUAAAGUGAAAAGGACCUAGAAGGAACUACUGGAAGAAAUAUCACCCCUAUUAAACUGGGCAAUUUUGUUUAAAUAUGAGUGUUCUGGAGGAAACAUGCAUUGUCACCAGGCUGGAUGGGACCCUUUCAAGUGCCACGAUCACUCAUAUGGGUAUCAGAGUGAAAGAAAAACCAGAUGGUUUCAUGCUUUCCAUGUGAAGCCAGCUCCUCAGGAGGACUAGACUGCAGUUUCCACAAAGGAUUUGAAGUUUAAUUUCCUAGAGUGACUAAUAUUGGUAAUGAACUCAACUGAAAGGAGGUAUUCUAAGGAAUGUAUUAUUCUGACUACCUUGCUGUCCUAGUUGCAAUAGUGUUUUGUUCAAUUACUAUAAGAAUCACAUUUUAUUAGAAAAUAAACAUGUUAUUUGUUACACCA
Homo sapiens (human) is the source of this 1133-nucleotide long non-coding RNA. RefSeq lists it as uncharacterized. NCBI's taxonomy places the organism in Eukaryota, Metazoa, Chordata, Mammalia, Primates, Hominidae. The record is from RefSeq and is a predicted model, not a curated record. The transcript is spliced from 4 exons.